GACGAACGCUGGCGGCGUGCUUAACACAUGCAAGUCGAACGGAAAGGCCCUGCUUUUGUGGGGUGCUCGAGUGGCGAACGGGUGAGUAACACGUGAGUAACCUGCCCUUGACUUUGGGAUAACUUCAGGAAACUGGGGCUAAUACCGUAUAGGAGCUCCUGCUGCAUGGUGGGGGUUGGAAAGUUUCGGCGGUUGGGGAUGGACUCGCGGCUUAUCAGCUUGUUGGUGGGGUAGUGGCUUACCAAGGCUUUGACGGGUAGCCGGCCUGAGAGGGUGACCGGCCACAUUGGGACUGAGAUACGGCCCAGACUCCUACGGGAGGCAGCAGUGGGGAAUAUUGCACAAUGGGCGGAAGCCUGAUGAAGCAACGCCGCGUGCGGGAUGACGGCCUUCGGGUUGUAAACCGCUUUCGCCUGUGACGAAGCGUGAGUGACGGUAAUGGGUAAAGAAGCACCGGCUAACUACGUG
This 468-nucleotide ribosomal RNA is filed under the name uncultured bacterium. Its description in RNAcentral is "partial 16S ribosomal RNA". It matches the Rfam family "Bacterial small subunit ribosomal RNA", at positions 28 to 507 of the family's 1533-position model. The record is from RNAcentral.